This 76-nucleotide transfer RNA is filed under the name Acidimicrobiales bacterium. RNAcentral describes it as "tRNA-Ala". It matches the Rfam family "tRNA". From Rfam's summary of the family: Transfer RNA (tRNA) molecules are approximately 80 nucleotides in length. Their secondary structure includes four short double-helical elements and three loops (D, anti-codon, and T loops). Lineage: Bacteria; Bacillati; Actinomycetota; Acidimicrobiia; Acidimicrobiales. The record is from RNAcentral. RNAcentral also lists the same sequence under 1 other name.
GGGGGUGUAGCUCAGUUGGUAGAGCGCCACGUUCGCAACGUGGAAGUCGGCGGUUCGAGUCCGCUCACCUCCACCA